RNAcentral lists this ribosomal RNA (467 nucleotides) under uncultured Alphaproteobacteria bacterium. Its description in RNAcentral is "bacterial SSU rRNA". It matches the Rfam family "Bacterial small subunit ribosomal RNA", at positions 9 to 521 of the family's 1533-position model. Lineage: Bacteria; Pseudomonadati; Pseudomonadota; Alphaproteobacteria. The record is from RNAcentral. RNAcentral also lists the same sequence under 1 other name.
GAGUUUGAUCAUGGCUCAGAGCGAACGCUGGCGGCAGGCCUAACACAUGCAAGUCGAACGGAUCCUUCGGGAUUAGUGGCGGACGGGUGAGUAACACGUGGGAACGUGCCCUUUGGUUCGGAACAACUCAGGGAAACUUGAGCUAAUACCGGAUGUGCCCUUCGGGGAAAGAUUUAUCGCCAUUGGAGCGGCCCGCGUCUGAUUAGCUAGUUGGUGAGGUAAAGGCUCACCAAGGCGACGACCAGUAGCUGGUCUGGGAGGAUGAUCAGCCACAUUGGGACUGAGACACGGCCCAAACUCCUACGGGAGGCAGCAGUGGGGAAUCUUGCGCAAUGGGCGAAAGCCUGACGCAGCCAUGCCGCGUGAAUGAUGAAGGUCUUAGGAUUGUAAAAAUUCUUUCACCGGGGACGAUAAUGACGGUACCCGGAGAAGAAGACCCCGGCUAACUUCGUGCCAGCCGCCGCAGU